UACGGGGGAUGCAAGCGUUAUCCGGAAUCAUUGGGCGUAAAGCGCCUGUAGGUUGUUUAAUAAGUCUGUUGUUAAAAACUGGGGCUCAACCCUAGGAAAGCAAUGGAAACUACUAGACUAGAGUAUGGCAGGGGUAGAGGGAAUUUCUAGUGUAGCGGUGAAAUGCGUAGAUAUUAGAAAGAACACCGGUGGCGAAAGCGCUCUACUGGACCAUUACUGACACUCAGAGGCGAAAGCUAGGGUAGCAAAUGGGAUUAGAUACCCCAGUAGUCCUAGCAGUAAACGAUGGAUACUAGAUGUUGCCCGUUCACCGCAGUGUCAAAGCUAACGCGUUAAGUAUCCCGCCUGGGAAGUAUGCUCGCAAGAGUG
This 369-nucleotide ribosomal RNA is filed under the name uncultured phototrophic eukaryote. RNAcentral's name for it is "SSU rRNA". It matches the Rfam family "Bacterial small subunit ribosomal RNA", at positions 524 to 896 of the family's 1533-position model. The record is from RNAcentral.